AGCCUUAACCCCUUGAUACAGAACUAGAUUAAAAACAACAACAAAACUCUAUACAUGUGAACCCUGAUAUAGUGAGGGACGACUGUAUUUACAGUUUGGGCUGGUUCGCCCUUUCUUAGGCAACUUGUUGAUCCCGUGCUCCCAGGGUUCUUACCAGACUUAGUGUGGACAUGUGAUUGGCUUGAUCCACUGCAGCAGCUCAGAGCUUCCCAGCUCAAAUGAUCCACCAGAAAAGAGCUAACUUCUUCAAGUAAAUAACUUGAGGCAAAAGGAAGAAAGUUAAAGGAUCAGACCAGUUCUCCAAAUGUAUGAUUAGAUCUGGAUUGUAAAAGACACAAGACUUAUUUUGCAAUAACUAGCCAUAAGAACCCUAUUAUCUGAUCCUACAGAGACCUUGUUUAGAGUACACAAAACUUCCCUGGAGGGCUUUCCAGUUAAAGAAAGAAGCAAAUCAACAGCAUUCUGGUACAAGACGUUAGAAGAUGCAAAACACAAAAUUGAUUUUCAUUGUGAGAGAUGUAUGUCAUUCAUUUGCUUCCCAGUCUUCAGCUUAAGCUUAGCAAUGAGACUCUGCCAAAAGCUAGGAGCUGGCUUCCAAGAACAUCAGGGAAACAACAGCCUUUGCUCGGCCUUCUAUUUUUGCCC
Molecule: long non-coding RNA, 645 nt
Filed under: Monodelphis domestica (gray short-tailed opossum)
Lineage: Eukaryota; Metazoa; Chordata; Mammalia; Didelphimorphia; Didelphidae
Description: lncRNA (ENSMODG00000031595.2)
Source: RNAcentral